CAUCGAGACUCCUACGGGAGGCAGCAGUAGGGAAUCUUCACAAUGGGCGCAAGCCUGAUGGAGCAACACCGCGUGAGUGAAGAAGGGGUUUCCGCUCGUAAAGCUCUGUUGUUAAAGAAGAACACGUACGAGAGUAACUGUUCAUACGUUGACGGUAUUUAACCAGAAAGUCACGGCUAACUACGUGCCAGCAGCCGCGGUAAUACGUAGGUGGCAAGCGUUAUCCGGAUUUAUUGGGCGUAAAGAGAGUGCAGGCGGUUUUCCAAGUCUGAUGUGAAAGCCUUCGGCUUAACCGGAGAAGUGCAUCGGAAACUGGAUAACUUGAGUGCAGAAGAGGGUAGUGGAACUCCAUGUGUAGCGGUGGAAUGCGUAGAUAUAUGGAAGAACACCAGUGGCGAAGGCGGCUACCUGGUCUGCAACUGACGCUGAGACUCGAAAGCAUGGGUAGCGAACAGGAUUAGAUACCCUGGUAG
This 473-nucleotide ribosomal RNA is filed under the name uncultured bacterium. Its description in RNAcentral is "bacterial SSU rRNA". It matches the Rfam family "Bacterial small subunit ribosomal RNA", at positions 328 to 793 of the family's 1533-position model. The record is from RNAcentral.